Molecule: ribosomal RNA, 665 nt
Filed under: uncultured bacterium
Lineage: Bacteria
Description: bacterial SSU rRNA
Rfam family: Bacterial small subunit ribosomal RNA
Source: RNAcentral
UCCUCUAGAGAUUAGAGUUUGAUCAUGGCUCAGAUUGAACGCUGGUGGCAUGCCUUACACAUGCAAGUCGAACGGCAGCACGGGAGCAAUCCUGGUGGCGAGUGGCGAACGGGUGAGUAAUACAUCGGAACGUGCCCAAUCGUGGGGGAUAACGUAGCGAAAGCUACGCUAAUACCGCAUACGAUCUACGGAUGAAAGCGGGGGAUCGCAAGACCUCGCGCGAAUGGAGCGGCCGAUGGCAGAUUAGGUAGUUGGUGAGGUAAAGGCUCACCAAGCCUGCGAUCUGUAGCUGGUCUGAGAGGACGACCAGCCACACUGGGACUGAGACACGGCCCAGACUCCUACGGGAGGCAGCAGUGGGGAAUUUUGGACAAUGGGCGCAAGCCUGAUCCAGCAAUGCCGCGUGCAGGAUGAAGGCCUUCGGGUUGUAAACUGCUUUUGUACGGAACGAAACGGUCCUUUCUAAUACAAGGGGCUAAUGACGGUACCGUAAGAAUAAGCACCGGCUAACUACGUGCCAGCAGCCGCGGUAAUACGUAGGGUGCGAGCGUUAAUCGGAAUUACGGGGCGUAAAGCGUGCGCAGGUGGUUUGUUAAGCACGAUGUGAAAUCCCCGAGCUCAACUUGGGAAUUGCAUUGUGAACUGGCUAACUAGAGUACGGCAGA